UGGGGAAUUGUUCACAAUGGGCGCAAGCCUGAUGACGCAACGCCGCGUGGGGGAUGAAGGUCUUCGGAUUGUAAACCCCUGUCGAAUGGGACGAAUGAACCGCGCAUUAACACCGCGCGGAAAUGACGGUACCGUUAAAGGAAGCCACGGCUAACUCUGUGCCAGCAGCCGCGGUAAUACAGAGGUGGCAAGCGUUGUUCGGAAUUACUGGGCGUAAAGGGCGAGUAGGUGGCCAUCUAAGUCAGACGUGAAAUCCCCCGGCUUAACCUGGGAACUGCGUCUGAUACUGGACGGCUAGAGUAUGGGAGAGGGAUGUAGAAUUCCAGGUGUAGCGGUGAAAUGCGUAGAUAUCUGGAGGAAUACCGGUGGCGAAGGCGGCAUCCUGGACCAUUACUGACACUGAACCGCGAAAGCUAGGGGAGCAAACGG
This 429-nucleotide ribosomal RNA is filed under the name uncultured bacterium. RNAcentral describes it as "bacterial SSU rRNA". It matches the Rfam family "Bacterial small subunit ribosomal RNA", at positions 355 to 775 of the family's 1533-position model. The record is from RNAcentral.